This 460-nucleotide ribosomal RNA is filed under the name uncultured bacterium. RNAcentral describes it as "SSU rRNA". It matches the Rfam family "Bacterial small subunit ribosomal RNA", at positions 26 to 518 of the family's 1533-position model. The record is from RNAcentral.
AGAAUCAACGCUGGCGGCGUGCCUAACACAUGCAAGUCGAACGAGAAAGGGGUAGCAAUACCCUGAGUAAAGUGGCGCACGGGUGAGUAACACGUGACUAACCUACCCUUGAGUGGGGGAUAACUGAGGGAAACCUUAGCUAAUACCGCAUAAUACCCACGGGUCAAAGGAGCAAUUCGCUCGAGGAGGGGGUCGCGGCCGAUUAGUUAGUUGGCGGGGUAAUGGCCCACCAAGACGAUGAUCGGUAUCCGGCCUGAGAGUGCGCACGGACACACUGGAACUGAAACACGGUCCAGACUCCUACGGGAGGCAGCAGUGGGGAAUUUGCGCAAUGGGGGAAACCCUGACGCAGCAACGCCGCGUGGAGGAUGAAGUCCUUCGGGACGUAAACUCCUUUCGAUCGGGACGAUUAUGACGGUACCGGAAGAAGAAGCCCGGCUAACUUCGUGCCAGCAGCCGC